UCUCGUGAAGUGCCGUGAAGCUCGUAG
RNAcentral lists this small RNA (27 nucleotides) under Bombyx mori (domestic silkworm). RNAcentral's name for it is "ovarian small RNA-29796". The record is from RNAcentral. Lineage: Eukaryota; Metazoa; Arthropoda; Insecta; Lepidoptera; Bombycidae.